RNAcentral lists this non-coding RNA (29 nucleotides) under Mus musculus (house mouse). The record is from RNAcentral. Lineage: Eukaryota; Metazoa; Chordata; Mammalia; Rodentia; Muridae.
UGCCAUCAACAUAUCAUCUCCACUCCUGA